Molecule: long non-coding RNA, 3092 nt
Organism: Sapajus apella (tufted capuchin)
Lineage: Eukaryota; Metazoa; Chordata; Mammalia; Primates; Cebidae
Exons: 5
Source: RefSeq, a predicted model, not a curated record
UGGCCAAGCUGGUCUUGAACUCCUGGCCUCAAGUGAUCUGCUCACUUCAGCCUCCUAAAGUGCUGGGAUUAUAGGCAUGAGCCACUGUGCCUGGCUUUUUUAAACUUUUAUUUUAGAUUCAUUUAAUAGGUAAAUUGCGCGUCACAGGGGUUUGUAGCUUAUUCUUUCAGAAACAUUUGCAUUAUUUGUAGAUGUGGAUGUAAAUACCUCAUGGAGUUUUCAUGAGAAAUAAUUGAGAUAAUGUAUGUAAUGUUGCACAGUGCUUUGCAGACUAAUAAAUAGUAGCUAUUAGUACAAACGUGUUGCUUUUUGGCUAGUUCUGCAGUCACGUUUGAAUCAGCUUAUGAACCACACAAAACAUUUGUCAUUAUUCUGUGAUCACUGUUUUUGAUACUGAUGAAAAUUUACAGUAUCCACCUGGAUAAUACCAUCUGGCUCACAAGGUGUGAUCUUGAAUUGUUAGCCGAAUGAACUAGAGCCUCAAAGGAUGAAGAUUACCUUGUGGGUAUUAAAAAGGAGCUUAGAAAGCUGUUUCCCAAGAGGGAUUCCUUGUUACCAACUAUGAUAGCAUUACUAUGGCGUGUGUGGUUUCCCAGAGUGACUGCUUUGGGGUUGGAGGUCACUUAGCUGUUAGAAGGUUAGGUCCCUUUAUAUUAUAUCUUGUAAACAAGGCUUAUUUGUACUUAGAGCUUCCCUUAGGGGUAACACUUAACCUUGCGGAGGGGAUCAUUUCUACCAGUGGGAGCCAUCUAGCAGGUCAGUUCUUAAGUUCAGCUUCACCAUGUAAAUGGCUACACGGUACACACAGGCUGACUUAACAUUCACCAUUCAGAUCCCCUCUCCUAGUUUUAUGUUCUUGGCAGCAGCGAAAAGGACCUCAAGCUCUCAGGCAAGAUGAUCUUCCCUGAGAUAUAUGUUGGACGAACCCAGAACCAUCAUAGAUUUGAGGGUGUAGUUGAAAAUCCCUACUGUGAAUGGGGUUUGUGGUACUGAAAGUUACCCCUUCCCUGUGAUUUUUGUAGGAACCCUUGCCACACAGAUCAGUGGAGUGGUGGGAAGAAGCACCACAAGACAUGCCUUUUUUUUUCUUUGAAAAAUGUUUGAAAGCUCCUACUAAUAUGGUUAGGAAAACUUCCGCGACAUUUGACCAUAAAAUGAGAGUUGCUCAAAAUACUAGUGCAGAUUACUCUGAUGUGUGAAAUACAAGACUUCAGGAUCAGUGCUGAAGACUUCAGGAAACUUAAUAAAUACAUUGAACUUGAAAAGUUUAUCCCUAAACUGUAAUCCUCCCAAACAAAACAAAAACAAAGCAAGAGGAAAAAACAUUUUAAAAAUUGUGAAACAGGCUGAAUUUUAUAAAUUGAAGUUACCAAAAUUACAUCUUUAGACCUUUCUUCUGAUUUGGUAUUUUAUGUUAUUAAGCAGUUACCUGGUUCUGAUUUAAAGGAGUAAUUUUAUUAUUUCUCUUUUCUACUCAUUUACUCAAUGAGUUUGUGUGACUAUAGAGAAAAGUAGGCUGUGUGGUUUUUCUGGUUGUCUAUACAUGUUGGCUCAUAGAGCAUAUGUACACAUGUGUAAUGUUUUCAUUUCCACUAAGCUGUUUGCUCCCUAGAUACUAUGCUAGUGUUUGUUUUUCUGCUGAGGUCUCCCAUGUUUUUACUGCCUUUUCUGAGUUAUUCCUCCUGAAGGAACAUUAUAUACCGUACUGGAGCAAAUGAGUCUUUUCUUAAACUUUCAGUCUUGGGUUUUGCAUGUAGCAUUUCUACUCCUUGUAGAUGAAUGAGUUCUUUUUCCUCUGUUGACUAUGAGGGCCUUGCCUUGCUGAAAGGAAUAGGGUGGUGAAGGGAAAAUAUUUAGAGAUCUUGCCUGGUCUUAAUAGGGAGCUUGUGACACUUAGAUUUUCAAGUGUUCAGUUUAUACCUUUCCCAAAUCUGAUUGCAGUGUAUUCAGUCAAGUAUUGAAGACCUAACGUAUGGCAUGUUUUGCAAGGCACAGCGAAAGAAAAAUGAACUAAGAACAGUGAGACCUUGUGGAAAUUCCCAGGGUGGAAUGUUGCAAACCAUGAGUCCUGGGCCUGCCUGAAUCACAGCCUCGGUGGGAGGAUCUUAUGAAAGGCAUCCUCUGUGGUUAUUUGACCUUUGGAUCGACAGGAGGUCCUCAGUGCUUUGCUGGAAGGGCCCUGAGACUCACUUGCAGCCCAGGAACAGCCAGUGCAUCCAGAACCAGCUGACCACCAGCAUGAUGAGGGAUAUGGGGAAGCUGAAGAGGAACCAGGUGCCGAAGUUCACCACGUCUGCGGCUGGAUACUGGCUGGAGGGCAAAGAACCAGUGGAAUCAUGCCAGGAAGCCCAUUAUUCGUUCAGUUGCCUUACAAUCUUAGGAUACUCAAAUAAAAUAUUUGCAGUGUCCCUGAAGCAUCUUUGAAGGCGGGUUUGAGGACCUCUGAUCUACAUCAACCCCCAGCUUUUCUAGUUGAAGACACGGGGGCUCAGGCAUUGGACUGCUUUGCUACAGUCAAAGACAGGGUCUCACUAUGUUGUCCAGGCUGGGCUCAAAUUCCUGGGCCACAGCGAUCCUUCUGCCUCAGCCUUCUCAGUAGCUAGAACUAUAUGGGCACACCACUGUGCCCAGCUGAAGUCCACCAUUUUACUGGCCUUUUACACCUCUCAUGAAAAGGUGUAAAACCAGACUUGGGGGAGUGAGACAUUGGCUGGAGCUUGGUGGUGAUGUGUGUUUGUGUGUGGAAGGGGAUACUUUGCUCGCCGUCGCAGCCAGCGAUUCUGUGAGUACCAUGGCACUCCUUGCUUUGCUGCCAAGUCACCAUAGUUAUCAGUGACCCAAUAGAGGUGAAUGUUUGGAGCGCACAGUUCUUCCCACUACCUGUCAACAUGCUGAGGGGCCAGCCCCCAAAGUCACAGAAGUGUUCCUUAUCACUGCGUGUGUGCACUUUUCCAGCUGACAUCUUGAACAGUCAACACUUGGAGAAAAACACAAACAAGGGUAACCCUCCAGUGAUUUCUCUUUGGCUUUGAGAACAUUGUGCCCUGUGUGCCUGUACAGACAUGUCCUAGUUUCCAUAAGAUAAGCCAGCA